Molecule: long non-coding RNA, 1721 nt
Organism: Callithrix jacchus (white-tufted-ear marmoset)
Lineage: Eukaryota; Metazoa; Chordata; Mammalia; Primates; Cebidae
Source: Ensembl
AGUUAAUUGUUAACAGAAUUUGAUAUCCUAUUUGAGUCCUCAAACCUUAGCAAUUUCUUUCAGCAUAGUUUGAGAAAUCCUACUUACUAAUCACUGUUUUCACAUGAAUAAUAAAACUGAAAUUUUUAGUCUUGUUUCAGCUAAUGAUUCUUGUGCCAAUUCUUUCCAUAGAUUAAAAUUUGGGGAGGAAAGUGGUAUAAUUGUCAUGUCUAAUCACUAACCCUCAGAUCUAGUCAAAUUUGAAUGAACCAUUAUUUAACUUUUAUUUUUUAUAGUAGGCUUCAAAAGAGAUGAUUGACUUAAGAAAAGCGAAAGUAUAGGACUUUAAAAAGAAAAAUUCCCGAAUUAAUACAUAGGUUUAACUUUUAAGCUCUUAGAGGGGAGAAUGAGAAGGCAGGCGUUAGUGGUUUGAUACAAAGGAAGAAAAUUCUAGAUCCACCUUAAAAAGUAGGAGAAUUAAUUCACUAGUGGGUUGAAAGAGGAUCUCUGGAUAGUACUGAAGGUCCAUCUGAAUCAUAUUUUUAAUGUGAAAUCAGUUCAAGAAGUUGAUAUAAAACUUACCAGUAAUUACAUGACUCUUUCUUCUCCUUUUUGAAGGUAUAACGAGUCUUCUGAAUUAUAUCUCCUUCUACGUGUGGGAGUAUGGGGGAAUGUAUAGCUUAGCAAUUCUUCAACUACUUUACAUAGAUGCUAUAGUUGAACAAAUAAAUAAAGUGUAGAUAAUGAGAACCACAUUUGUCAUGGUCAGAGUUAAAAGUUACAAAUAAGCUACUGAGAAGGCUGAAAUGAUCUCUGCUCUGAUGGAUCGGAGUUGGAGAAUAUGUACAUAUCAUGUGUCCAAACAUGUGAUUAAUGUACGCUUGAGAAGUACCUGUUUUCUGAGAUUACUGGGUGUGCGGUUCUAUAUAUGGUCCUUAGGUAUGUGUCAACAGCGGAUAACCUGCGGGAUGGUUUUCUUUAUAGACUCCAGUCUUCAUCAGCAUGAAAAAUGUUAACUUUUUCACUUUUGACUCUUUCUGUGGUGUUCUCUAUGGUAAAUCAAUAUCCAAUAUGUUAAAGUCACAUUUUCAUCCUAGAUGAUUCUGUAAAUAUGGUAAUAAUUUAUGGGUCAAAUUAAAGGGUGAGAAACUGCCAGAUUGUUUCUAGAGUGGCUGUAUCAUUUUGUUAGAGGCAUAUUGAGGUGAAAUUACAACUGCAAAGUGUCAGCAAGAGGAAAUUCCAUAGGAUGUUGACACUGGUCUGUAUCCUAUUUGUGGUGGUAGUUAUAAGAAUCUAAUUAUGGGUUAAACUCACAGAACAAUACACAAAAACAAUGAAUAACACUGUUUGCAAAUGUACAAAAAUAAAUAAAUAAAAGCUAUACUAGUUUCUGUGAUAUAAGAUAGCCCACAGCAUUCUUGGAGAGGAAACACACAAGAAUUCUUAAAUACUUUAGGAAGAUUUACUUAAUAUUGAGCAAAUACAAGAAACAAGUUACUGCCUAAGAAGCCAUCAGUUUUACUCUCUUGUUCUUUGUCUUUUAUAUAAAUCUACUCUUACAGACAUUAUUUCACAUUCUUUAUAUCCCUUUUAAUUCUAAUCCUGAAUUUGACUCACACUUGAAAAAAAUGGCAUUUCUGUUAGUUCUGAGAGAUACAGAAUCAUUCUGCAAUUGUAGGCAAUGCUCAUUUAAUCAUUCAAAGAUAGUGUGGCAGGCUUUUUCAUGGAACAGUUUUUACGUC